RNAcentral lists this transfer RNA (78 nucleotides) under mine drainage metagenome. RNAcentral describes it as "tRNA-Arg". It matches the Rfam family "tRNA". Rfam says of the family: Transfer RNA (tRNA) molecules are approximately 80 nucleotides in length. Their secondary structure includes four short double-helical elements and three loops (D, anti-codon, and T loops). Further hydrogen bonds mediate the characteristic L-shaped molecular structure. tRNAs have two regions of fundamental functional importance: the anti-codon, which is responsible for specific mRNA codon recognition, and the 3' end, to which the tRNAs corresponding amino acid is attached (by aminoacyl-tRNA synthetases). tRNAs cope with the degeneracy of the genetic code in two manners: having more than one tRNA (with a specific anti-codon) for a particular amino acid; and 'wobble' base-pairing, i.e. permitting non-standard base-pairing at the 3rd anti-codon position. The record is from RNAcentral.
GGGCUCGUGGCCUAGUUUGGAUAAGGCACCGUCCUUCUAAGUCGGUGAUCGAGGGUCCAAAUCCCUCCGAGCCCGCUA